RNAcentral lists this ribosomal RNA (492 nucleotides) under uncultured bacterium. RNAcentral describes it as "partial 16S ribosomal RNA". It matches the Rfam family "Bacterial small subunit ribosomal RNA", at positions 29 to 507 of the family's 1533-position model. The record is from RNAcentral.
AGUGAACGCUGGCGGUAGGCCUAACACAUGCAAGUCGAACGGCAGCACAGUAAGCGCUUGCUCUUACGGGUGGCGAGUGGCGGACGGGUGAGGAAUACAUCGGAAUCUACUUUUUCGUGGGGGAUAACGUAGGGAAACUUACGCUAAUACCGCAUACGACCUACGGGUGAAAGCAUGGGUUCUUCGGACCUUGCGCGAUUGAAUGAGCCGAUGUCGGAUUAGCUAGUUGGCGGGGUAAAGGCCCACCAAGGCGACGAUCCGUAGCUGGUCUGACCGGAUGAUCAGCCACACUGGAACUGAGACACGGUGCAGACUCCUACGGGAGGCAGCAGUGGGGAAUAUUGGACAAUGGGCGCAAGCCUGAUCCAGCCAUACCGCGUGGGUGAAGAAGGCCUUCGGGUUGUAAAGCCCUUUUGUUGGGAAAGAAAAGCAGCAGGUUAAUACCCCGCUGUUCUGACGGUACCCAAAGAAUAAGCACCGGCUAACUUCGUG